Non-coding RNA from Pelobates cultripes (western spadefoot toad), 680 nucleotides. The record is from the annotation of a GenBank genome assembly. NCBI's taxonomy places the organism in Eukaryota, Metazoa, Chordata, Amphibia, Anura, Pelobatidae.
GCUUUUAGUACCCCUAUAGUUAGUAAAUAGAGCUUCAGCUAACACUGCAUACGGUUAAAUUUGCAGGCUAAAACAACAAAGCAAAAAUAUGUUUAUCGCAGAUGUUAUUAUAAUGCUUGCCCCCAGUCCGCUCAGCCGAAGCUCCCAGAGGAUGAGGCAGCCCUUGGGCAACCGAAGUCCAGCAUGUGUGAGCAGGUCGCUCCUCCAAGCCCCUCUGAUGCGGUGUGUACCGGAGGUCUAUCCUGACCGGUCGCCAGAACUGUAGUGUGUUCUGGUUCCGGCGUCCGGCACCGCCUAGUCCUCCUUCUGCGGGUUGAUUGCCGACAGGAGCCCUCCCGGGCAACUCGAGAUCCAGGUGAGAGGCAGUUGGUGUGGAUGUUGUGCCGUGAAUUUGGUGCGCAGAUUGCGACGUCCAUCUGUGUCUGCACCUCCGCGGUAACAUACGUGGGACACACAGUAGAGGCCGCCUUCAUGCCGUUGUAUCCUAUUCUCUUGAUUCGCCUGUGUAGCUUUGUUUUGCGUGGUUGCGAGGUUUGGAGCCGAUUUCGCCGUCUCUCCGUGCGGCAUGUCCUGGAUGUCUGAGCCGCCUUGAGCGUGAGAUGGGAGCAGGUGUUCCCUGUACCGUCUGCGCACGUGGCGCCCGCCAUUUUAGGUGUGGCGGUUGGGCUCCCCGGCCUCAG